RNAcentral lists this ribosomal RNA (497 nucleotides) under uncultured bacterium. RNAcentral's name for it is "partial 16S ribosomal RNA". It matches the Rfam family "Bacterial small subunit ribosomal RNA", at positions 28 to 507 of the family's 1533-position model. The record is from RNAcentral.
GAUGAACGCUGGCGGCGUGCCUAAUACAUGCAAGUCGAGCGAACAGACGAGGAGCUUGCUCCUCUGACGUUAGCGGCGGACGGGUGAGUAACACGUGGAUAACCUACCUAUAAGACUGGGAUAACUUCGGGAAACCGGAGCUAAUACCGGAUAAUAUAUUGAACCGCAUGGUUCAAUAGUGAAAGACGGUUUUGCUGUCACUUAUAGAUGGAUCCGCGCCGCAUUAGCUAGUUGGUAAGGUAACGGCUUACCAAGGCAACGAUGCGUAGCCGACCUGAGAGGGUGAUCGGCCACACUGGAACUGAGACACGGUCCAGACUCCUACGGGAGGCAGCAGUAGGGAAUCUUCCGCAAAGGGCGAAAGCUUGACGGAGCAACGCCGCGUGAGUGAUGAAGGUCUUCGGAUCGUAAAACUCUGUUAUUAGGGAAGAACAAAUGUGUAAGUAACUAUGCACGUCUUGACGGUACCUAAUCAGAAAGCCACGGCUAACUACGUA